UAAAAAACAUAAAGCAUGAUAAUGAAUAGUGGGCUUGUGUAACACUUGGACAUUAUGACAUAGCUUCAGAUGAGUGAUUUUGAAUGCAUGAGUAGGAGUUGGCUAACUUUGAAGAGUUUCUUGUUCUUUGUUUAGAUUUCUGUUGGAUUUUAUUGACAUGCUUAAGGGUCCUUGUUAUUGAUUCAUUGAUGAGGAUUUUACUUGCUUCUGAGUGGUUAAAUUAAGCAGAUGGAGUGAUAAGCAGAGUAGUUUUUGUUCUCUUUCACUCGAGGACGAGCAAAAGUGUAAGUUGGGGAGUGUGAUCGGGGCUUAAUUAUGUACGAAAUGAUUAUUUAAUUCU
Telopea speciosissima is the source of this 340-nucleotide long non-coding RNA. RefSeq lists it as uncharacterized. The record is from RefSeq and is a predicted model, not a curated record. Lineage: Eukaryota; Viridiplantae; Streptophyta; Magnoliopsida; Proteales; Proteaceae. The transcript has 3 exons.